AACGAACGCUGGCGGCGUGCCUAACACAUGCAAGUCGAGCGCGAAAAGGGCAACCUGAGUAGAGCGGCGCGCGGGUGCGUAACACGUGGGUAAUCUGCCUUAGAGUCGAGGAUAACCUUCCGAAAGGUUGGCUAAUACUCGGUAAGCUUACGGUGUCUUCGGACGCUGUGGGAAAAGUAGGCCUCUGUUUACAGGCUUACGCUCUGAGAUGAGCCCGCGGCCCAUCAGCUAGUUGGCGGUGUAACGGACCACCAAGGCAACGACGGGUAGCUGGUCUGAGAGGACGAUCAGCCACACUGGAACUGAGACACGGUCCAGACUCCUACGGGAGGCAGCAGUGGGGAAUUUUCCACAAUGGGCGAAAGCCUGAUGGAGCAACGCCGCGUGUGUGAUGAAGGUUUUCGGAUCGUAAAGCACUUUCGACCGGGACGAAAAACCUCUGGCUAACAUCCAGGGGCCUGACGGUACCGGGAGAAGAAGCACCGGCUAACUCUGUGCCAGCCGCCGCGGUAA
Molecule: ribosomal RNA, 513 nt
Filed under: uncultured bacterium
Lineage: Bacteria
Description: partial 16S ribosomal RNA
Rfam family: Bacterial small subunit ribosomal RNA
Source: RNAcentral